UAUUGGAUUGAGAAUAGAUC
This 20-nucleotide microRNA is filed under the name Picea abies (Norway spruce). RNAcentral's name for it is "pab-miR11502". Lineage: Eukaryota; Viridiplantae; Streptophyta; Pinopsida; Pinales; Pinaceae. The record is from miRBase by way of RNAcentral.